This 543-nucleotide ribosomal RNA is filed under the name uncultured bacterium. Its description in RNAcentral is "bacterial SSU rRNA". It matches the Rfam family "Bacterial small subunit ribosomal RNA", at positions 777 to 1319 of the family's 1533-position model. The record is from RNAcentral.
AAUAGAUACCCGGGUAGUCCAUGCCGUAAACGAUGUCUACUAGCCGUUGGGGCCUUUGAGGCUUUAGUGGCGCAGCUAACGCGAUAAGUAGACCGCCUGGGGAGUACGGUCGCAAGACUAAAACUCAAAUGAAUUGACGGGGGCCCGCACAAGCGGUGGAGCAUGUGGUUUAAUUCGAUGCAACGCGAAGAACCUUACCUGGUCUUGACAUAGUAAGAACUUUCCAGAGAUGGAUUGGUGCCUUCGGGAACUUACAUACAGGUGCUGCAUGGCUGUCGUCAGCUCGUGUCGUGAGAUGUUGGGUUAAGUCCCGCAACGAGCGCAACCCUUUUCCUUAUUUGCCAGCGGGUUAAGCCGGGAACUUUAAGGAUACUGCCAGUGACAAACUGGAGGAAGGCGGGGACGACGUCAAGUCAUCAUGGCCCUUACGACCAGGGCUACACACGUGCUACAAUGGUCGGUACAAAGGGUUGCUACCUAGCGAUAGGAUGCUAAUCUCAAAAAGCCGAUCGUAGUCCGGAUUGGAGUCUGCAACUCGACUCC